Spinacia oleracea (spinach) is the source of this 503-nucleotide long non-coding RNA. RefSeq lists it as uncharacterized. The record is from RefSeq and is a predicted model, not a curated record. NCBI's taxonomy places the organism in Eukaryota, Viridiplantae, Streptophyta, Magnoliopsida, Caryophyllales, Amaranthaceae. The transcript has 3 exons.
CUUCCCUUGGCCUGCCGUUUUUUCGUUCUCUCUCCUCAUUUCCUAAUUUUUUUUCAUCUUCAUCUCCUUUCCAAUCUUCAUGUCCUUUCUUUGAUUGCGAUUACAUUUGUUCUUGAAAAAAAUUACCGAACAUCGAAAUUCUUCCACCAUCUCCUUCCAUGUUUGUGGUUCACAAAAGAUGGAGAAACAAAAGCUUUGAACCAUCUCCAUAUUUUCUCGAGAUGGUGAUACUAACAAGAUUUGAUGAUCUAUCUUCAAUCAAUAAGAUCGGUCUCCGGCGUUAGGAUCUCGGCGGCAGAAGAAUCAUAGAUCUAAAUGGGUUUGUCAUGGCCGUGAGAUUCAUUUCAUUCAAUGGAGUUGUCAAUUUGCUUAGCUUGGAUUUUUCUUACAUAUUUGUACUUUGAGUUAUUCAACUUUGUAAGAGGAGUACUAAUUUUAUAGAAACUCAGAUGUAUUAUUCUUGUACUUCGUAUUUGAUUAAUAAUAAUAAGAAAAGUUUAGUA